RNAcentral lists this ribosomal RNA (292 nucleotides) under uncultured bacterium. RNAcentral describes it as "partial 16S ribosomal RNA". It matches the Rfam family "Bacterial small subunit ribosomal RNA", at positions 505 to 796 of the family's 1533-position model. The record is from RNAcentral.
GUGUCAGCAGCCGCGGUAAUACGAAGGGUGCAAGCGUUACUCGGAAUUACUGGGCGUAAAGCGUGCGUAGGCGGUUCGUUAAGUCUGUCGUGAAAGCCCUGGGCUCAACCUGGGAAUUGCGAUGGAUACUGGCGAGCUAGAGUACGGUAGAGGAUGGUGGAAUUCCCGGUGUAGCGGUGAAAUGCGUAGAGAUCGGGAGGAACACCCGUGGCGAAGGCGGCCAUCUGGACCAGUACUGACGCUGAGGCACGAAAGCGUGGGGAGCAAACAGGAUUAGAUACCCUGGUAGUCC